UUGUCCUACGGGGGGCAGCAGUGGGGAAUAUUGGGCAAUGGACGCAAGUCUGACCCAGCAACGCCGCGUGAAGGAAGAAGGCUUUCGGGUUGUAAACUUCUUUUAAGGGGGAAGAGAAGAAGACGGUACCCCUUGAAUAAGCCACGGCUAACUACGUGCCAGCAGCCGCGGUAAUACGUAGGUGGCAAGCGUUGUCCGGAUUUACUGGGUGUAAAGGGCGUGCAGCCGGAGAGGCAAGUCAGAUGUGAAAUCCGCGGGCUCAACCCGCGAACUGCAUUUGAAACUGCUUCCCU
This 293-nucleotide ribosomal RNA is filed under the name uncultured bacterium. RNAcentral's name for it is "partial 16S ribosomal RNA". It matches the Rfam family "Bacterial small subunit ribosomal RNA", at positions 334 to 642 of the family's 1533-position model. The record is from RNAcentral.